ACACUCCUGCGGGAGGCAGCAGUGGGGAAUAUUGGACAAUGGGCGCAAGCCUGAUCCAGCCAUGCCGCGUGAGUGAUGAAGGCCCUAGGGUUGUAAAGCUCUUUCACCGGUGAAGAUAAUGACGGUAACCGGAGAAGAAGCCCCGGCUAACUUCGUGCCAGCAGCCGCGGUAAUACGAAGGGGGCUAGCGUUGUUCGGAUUUACUGGGCGUAAAGCGCACGUAGGCGGACUAUUAAGUCAGGGGUGAAAUCCCGGGGCUCAACCCCGGAACUGCCUUUGAUACUGGUAGUCUUGAGUUCGAGAGAGGUGAGUGGAAUUCCGAGUGUAGAGGUGAAAUUCGUAGAUACUCGGAGGAACACCAGUGGCGAAGGCGGCUCACUGGCUCGAUACUGACGCUGAGGUGCGAAAGCGUGGGGAGCAAACAGGAUUAGAAACCCUUGUAGUCCCA
This 448-nucleotide ribosomal RNA is filed under the name uncultured organism. RNAcentral's name for it is "partial 16S ribosomal RNA". It matches the Rfam family "Bacterial small subunit ribosomal RNA", at positions 333 to 797 of the family's 1533-position model. The record is from RNAcentral.